CAAUAGCGUAUAUUAAAGUUGUUGCAGUUAAAAAGCUCGUAGUUGGAUUUCUGGAUGGAGCGACCGGUCGGGCAUUAAUUUGUCUGCACUGGAGUCGGUUCCGUCCAUCCUCUUGGAAAGUGCGUCGGGCAUUAAGUUGUUUGGCGUAUGAUCCAAGUCGUUUACUGUGAAAAAAUUAGAGUGCUUAAAGCAGGCCUUCGCCUUGAAUACAUUAGCAUGGAAUAAUAAGAUAGGACUUUGGUCUAUUUUGUUGGUUUGCAGACCGAAGUAAUGAUUAAUAGGGAUAGUUGGGGGUAUUUAUAUUCCGAUGUCAGAGGUGAAAUUCUUAGAUUUUCGGAAGAUAAACUUAUGCGAAAGCAUUUACCAAGGAUGUUUUCAUUAA
This 382-nucleotide ribosomal RNA is filed under the name uncultured eukaryote. Its description in RNAcentral is "partial 18S ribosomal RNA". It matches the Rfam family "Eukaryotic small subunit ribosomal RNA", at positions 592 to 976 of the family's 1831-position model. The record is from RNAcentral.